AUUGAACGCUGGCGGCAGGCCUAACACAUGCAAGUCGAGCGGGGUUUUCGGACCUAGCGGCGGACGGGUGAGUAAUGCGUAGGAAGCUACCCGACAGAGGGGGAUACCAGUUGGAAACGACUGUUAAUACCGCAUAAUGUCUACGGACCAAAGUGUGGGACCUUCGGGCCACAUGCUGUCGGAUGCGCCUACGUGGGAUUAGCUAGUUGGUGAGGUAAUGGCUCACCAAGGCGACGAUCCCUAGCUGGUUUGAGAGGAUGAUCAGCCACACUGGAACUGAGACACGGUCCAGACUCCUACGGGAGGCAGCAGUGGGGAAUAUUGGACAAUGGGCGGCAAGCCUGAUCCAGCCAUGCCGCGUGUGUGAAGAAGGCCU
Molecule: ribosomal RNA, 376 nt
Filed under: uncultured bacterium
Lineage: Bacteria
Description: bacterial SSU rRNA
Rfam family: Bacterial small subunit ribosomal RNA
Source: RNAcentral